RNAcentral lists this long non-coding RNA (334 nucleotides) under Homo sapiens (human). Its description in RNAcentral is "non-protein coding lnc-TP53TG3-55:1". The record is from RNAcentral. Lineage: Eukaryota; Metazoa; Chordata; Mammalia; Primates; Hominidae.
AGCCCGGAGCAGGCCGACAUUGCAGACCCUCUGCCCUGCAACCAAUCUGCGAGGAGCGGACCAGACACUGUAACUAAUGCAAUGCCUUAAGACUAUUCUGCUCCCUGCCCAGCCCUUCCAUGCAGCCGAGCCCUUUGGCCAUGGGGAGGGAAGCCUUGCUGUUCCCAAAUCUCUCCCGCCUGGGGAGACAGUGCAACUAUGUCUGCUAGUUUUACCUUGCAAUUGUGGCACCCCGUCUCCCGGAGAAGCGGGCUUCGGGCUUGUCCUGUUCGAAGUUUGAUUUCUCGCAGACCAACAUAGGGCGUGUGGCCUCUCAAGGCCUCCGCGGCACGGU